This is a long non-coding RNA of Clupea harengus (Atlantic herring), 4669 nucleotides long. Lineage: Eukaryota; Metazoa; Chordata; Actinopteri; Clupeiformes; Clupeidae. The record is from Ensembl.
CUGAGGAUGGAUCAGAAGAAGACUGGAAUGAAAGUGAGGAGGCCAGUGUAGACCUAGACUUGCUCUUCCUGAAGGACAAUGUAAAGACUGACAUAGAUAGAGGAAAAGAAAGGAGAUUGGAAGAGGAGAACAAAUCAAGACAGCUAGAAGUGGAGACACAGAGAGAAAUUAAAACUGUGAGACUGAAAGAAGAGGAGAGCAAGAGGAUAGCCAUGGUGGAAAAACUGAAAGAGGACGAAGGGAGGAAGAGAGGGAUGGAAGCAGAAAUGGAGAGAAAGGAACAGGAGGAGAGGCUGAGAGAAAAGGAAAGGACCAAACUAAGAGAAGAGGAGAGAAAGAAAAAAGAGAUGCAAGAGAAGACAAAGAGAGAGCUGGAGCAGAUAACACAAAGAGAGAGGGAGGAGAAGGGGAAGAAAGCCAAAGUGGCCAAGAAAUUACUUCAGGCACGUGACAGCGAUGACAUUGACAUAGAGAGCUUGAGUGAUGAAGAUAUGUGGAAGGAUAAGGAGCUCCCAAUGGACCAAAAGAAAAGGCAGACAAAAGACGAAAAGGAACAUGCAUGGCUACAGGAAAAACACAACAAAGAGAAGGAGGAUGAGAAUCCUUGUAACAGGGAUUGCAGUGACCCCAAGACUGUGACUAAUUCAAAUAGUUUGUGGAUGCAUAAGGCCAAGAGCCCAAAGCUGUCAGUCAACAAUGCAUGGAAGAUCCAGCAAUUUGAUAAUACAGAGACUGAUAAUGUCAAACAAGGUCAUUCUGAGGAAGGCGACACACUUGUGAUGACACUCAGUAAUGAUGAUAUGAAUACAUGGACCCAGCUAAAGGCAAAAACAGAUGAAGAGGACGCAGAGAGAGAGAAACAGAGGCAGAUGGAUGAAAAGAGGAUGAGAGAGGUGGACAAUGGAGGAAAGAAAAAAGAGAGAAAACAAGGAGAGAUGGUAGCACAGAAAGAAAACAAGACACCCAGGAUGAGCAGAGACUUAGAAAUCAUCCAAAAGAUACAGGAGGAAAGAAAGAAAAAAGAGAUGGAGAAAGCAGCACUGAAGGAGCAAAAACAUGACAAGAGGAGAAAGAUAGAGAUUGAGGAGGAGAAAGCAAGAGAGAAGGACAGAAAAGUGAGAGAAAGGGAGGAGAUGAGAAAGACUGAAGAGGUGAUGAACAGGAGGGGGGAGGCUCUGUCAGGAGACAGCAAUGACAGCGACUGGGCGACUGACUCCGAUGACUUGUGGAUGGAUGAGUUGGAGAGACGGGAAACAGAAAGAAAGAGAGAGGAGAUUGAGCAAGUGAGAGUGGAGACAGAGCAAAAAAGAGAGGAACAGGAAAGAAGGAUGGAGGAGAUGGAGCAAAAAAGAGAGGAAGCAGAAAUUGAAAUACACAAUAAAAGGGAGAAACAUGAAGACCAGAGGCAAAAAGGAAAGGAGAGACAAGAGGGAAGUGAGAAUUCAGGAAAAGAAAAGAAGGAGAUGGAGAUGAAGGAGGAUGAGAAAGUCAAAGAGCCACAGACGAGAGACGAGAGGAACACAGAUAUGAUGCGGGAAAUAGAGGAGGAGACCUCCCAGCUGUGGAAGUCCAUGGGACUAUCCUUUGAAGACACUGAGGAUGGAUCAGAAGAAGACUGGAAUGAAAGUGAGGAAGCCAGUGUAGACCUAGACUUGCUCUUCCUGAAAGACAAUGGAAAUACCGAAAUAGAUAGAGGAAAAGAAAGGAGAUUGGAAGAGGAGAACAAAUCAAGACAGCUAGAAGUGGAGAGACAGAGAGAAGUGAAAACUGUGAGACUGAAAGAAGAGGAGAGCAAGAGGAAAGCCAUGAUGGAAAAACUGAAAGAGGAUGAAGGGAGGAAGAGAGGGAUGGAAGCAGAAAUGGAGAGAAAGGAACAGGAGGAGAGGCUGAGAGAGAAAGAAAGGGCCAAACUAAGAGAAGAGGAGAGAAAGAAAAAAGAGAUGCAAGAGAAGACAAGAAGAGAGCUGGAGCAGAUAACACAAAGAGAGAGGGAGGAGAAGGGGAAGAAAGCCAAAGUGGCCAAUAAAUUACUCCAGGCACGUGACAGCGAUGACAUUGACGUAGAGAGCUUGAGUGAUGAAGAUAUGUGGAAGGAUAAGGAGCUCCCAAUGGACCAAAAGAAAAGGCAGACAAAAGAUGAAAAGGAACAUGCAUGGCUACAGGAAAAACACAACAAAGAGAAGGAGGAUGAGAAUCCUUGUAACAGGGAUUGCAGUGACCCCAAGACUGUGACUAAUUCAAAUAGUUUGUGGAUGCAUAAGGCCAAGAGCCCAAAGCUGUCAGUCAACAAUGCAUGGAAGAUCCAGCAAUAUGAUAAUACAGAGACGGAUAAUGUCAAACAAGGUCAUUCUGAGGAAGGCGACACACUUGUGAUGACACUCAGUAAUGAUGAUAUGAAUACAUGGACCCAGCUAAAGGCAAAAACAGAUGAAGAGGAUGCAGAGAGAGAGAAACAGAGGCAGAUGGAUGAAAAGAGGAUGAGAGAGGUGGACAAUGGAGGAAAGAAAAAAGAGAGAAAAAAGGGGGAGAUGGUAGCACAGAAAGAAAACAAGACACCCAAGAUGAGCAGAGACUUAGAAAUCGUCCAAAAGAUACAGGAGGAAAGAAAGAAAAAAGAGAUGGAGAAAGCAGCACUGAAGGAGCAAAAAGAUGACAAGAGGAGAAAGAUAGAGAUUGAGGAGGAGAAAGCAAGAGAGGAGGAGAAAAAAGUGAGAGAAAGGGAGGAGAUGAGAAAGACUGAAGAGGUGAUGAACAGGAGGGGGGAGGCUCUGUCAGGAGACAGCAAUGACAGCGACGGGGCAACUGACUCCGAUGACUUGUGGAUGGAUGAGUUGGAGAGACGGGAAACAGAAAGAAAGAGAGAGGAGAUUGAGAAAGUGAGAGUGGAGACAGUGCAAAAAAGAGAGGAACAGGAAAGAAGGAUGGAGGAGAUGGAGCGAAAAAGAGAGAAAGCAGAAAUUGAAAUACACAAAAAAAGGGAGAGGGAGAAACAUGAAGACCAGAGGCAAAAAGGAAAGGAGAGACAAGAGGGAAGUGAGAAUUCAGGAAAAGAAGAGAAGGAGAAGAUGGAGAAGAAGGAGGAUGAGAAAGUGAAAGAGCCACAGACGAGAGACGAGAGGAACACAGAUAUGAUGCGGGAAAUAGAGGAGGAGACCUCCCAGCUGUGGAAGUCCAUGGGACUAUCCUUUGAAGACACUGAGGAUGGAUCAGAAGAAGACUGGAAUGAAAGUGAGGAGGCCAGUGUAGACCUAGACUUGCUCUUCCUGAAGGACAAUGUAAAGACUGACAUAGAUAGAGGAAAAGAAAGGAGAUUGGAAGAGGAGAACAAAUCAAGACAGCUAGAAGUGGAGACACAGAGAGAAAUUAAAACUGUGAGACUGAAAGAAGAGGAGAGCAAGAGGAUAGCCAUGGUGGAAAAACUGAAAGAGGACGAAGGGAGGAAGAGAGGGAUGGAAGCAGAAAUGGAGAGAAAGGAACAGGAGGAGAGGCUAAGAGAAAAGGAGAGAAAGAAAAAAGAGAUGCAAGAGAAGACAAGGAGAGAGCUGGAGCAGAUAACACAAAGAGAGAGGGAGGAGAAGGGGAAGAAAGCCAAAGUGGCCAAGAAAUUACUCCAGGCACGUGACAGCGAUGACAUUGAUGUAGAGAGCUUGAGUGAUGAAGAUAUGUGGAAGGAUAAGGAGCUCCCAAUGGACCAAAAGAAAAGGCAGACAAAAGACGAAAAGGAACAUGCAUGGCUACAGGAAAAACACAACAAAGAGAAGGAGGAUGAGAAUCCUUGUAACAGGGAUUGCAGUGACCCCAAGACUGUGACUAAUUCAAAUAGUUUGUGGAUGCAUAAGGCCAAGAGCCCAAAGCUGUCAGUCAACAAUGCAUGGAAGAUCCAGCAAUAUGAUAAUACAGAGACGGAUAAUGUCAAACAAGGUCAUUCUGAGGCAGGCGACACACUUGUGAUGACACUCAGUAAUGAUGAUAUGAAUACAUGGACCCAGCUAAAGGCAAAAACAGAUGAAGAGGACGCAGAGAGAGAGAAACAGAGGCAGAUGGACGAAAAUAGGAUGAGAGAGUUGGACAAUGGAGGAAAGAAAAAAGAGAGAAAACAAGGAGAGAUGGUAGCACAGAAAGAAAACAAGACACCCAGGAUGAGCAGAGACUUAGAAAUCGUCCAAAAGAUACAGGAGGAAAGAAAGAAAAAAGAGAUGGAGAAAGCAGCACAGAAGGAGCAAAAAGAGGACGAGAGGAGAAAGAUAGAGAUUGAGGAGGAGAAAGCUAGAGAGGAGGAGAUAAAAGUGAUGACGGAGCAGAUGGAGAGAACUAAACCAGAGAUGGUGAGAAAGGAAAAGGAGGAGAGCCUGAGAGAAAAAGAAAGGGCCAAACUAAGAGAAGAGGAUGAGAGGAAAAAGGUAGAGAUUGAGAUGGAGAAAGCCAGAGAGGAGGAGAGAAAAGUGAGAGAAAGAGCGGAGAUGAGAAAGAUUGUAGAGGUGAUGAACAGGAGGUGGGAGGCUCUGCCAGGAGACAGAGAUGACAGCGACGGGGCGACUGACUCCGGUGCCUUGUGGAUGGAUGAGGUGGAGAAGAGGCGUCAAGUGGAGGUCAUAAACCCCCAAAACAAACCUCAGGAAGAGGGGGAGAGAGGACACACCCAGCCUGGAAGUGCCCAAGUAAACGUAGA